GGAGCUGUGGCUCAGUGGUAGAGCACUCACCUAGCAUGUGCCAGGCACUGGGUCUAAUCCUCAGCACCA
Ictidomys tridecemlineatus (thirteen-lined ground squirrel) is the source of this 69-nucleotide non-coding RNA. NCBI's taxonomy places the organism in Eukaryota, Metazoa, Chordata, Mammalia, Rodentia, Sciuridae. The record is from Rfam.